GAGCAUGGAUUAAUGAUCACCAACACGAGGGGAUCAUAAGUAUAGGAAUCACGUCGAGACGGGCGCAAGCAUGAGAUGUUAACGGGUCAAUAAGAGGCAAGGAAUCGGAUGCGAGCACGGACGCAUAAGGUUGUACGAAUCACGGAUUAACCUCACAAGGAGUAGCGAUCGAAGACCGAGUCACAAGAUAGAUUGUACGGGAAUGUUUACAUAUGUAAUUUAGUGAUGAUAAGUUAUGUUUUUUUUAUAUUUUAAAGUGGACUUUCAAGUAAGACAAAACGUUUAUAAUGAAUGAAAUUUUAGGGU
Long non-coding RNA from Helianthus annuus (common sunflower), 306 nucleotides. RefSeq lists it as uncharacterized. The record is from RefSeq and is a predicted model, not a curated record. Lineage: Eukaryota; Viridiplantae; Streptophyta; Magnoliopsida; Asterales; Asteraceae. The transcript is spliced from 3 exons.